RNAcentral lists this ribosomal RNA (450 nucleotides) under uncultured bacterium. RNAcentral's name for it is "partial 16S ribosomal RNA". It matches the Rfam family "Bacterial small subunit ribosomal RNA", at positions 354 to 796 of the family's 1533-position model. The record is from RNAcentral.
GUGGGGAAUUUUGGACAAUGGGCGCAAGCCUGAUCCAGCAAUGCCGCGUGCAGGAAGAAGGCCUUCGGGUUGUAAACUGCUUUUGUACGGAACGAAACGGUCCGGGUUAAUACCCUGGGCUAAUGACGGUACCGUAAGAAUAAGCACCGGCUAACUACGUGCCAGCAGCCGCGGUAAUACGUAGGGUGCAAGCGUUAAUCGGAAUUACUGGGCGUAAAGCGUGCGCAGGCGGUUUUGUAAGACAGGCGUGAAAUCCCCGGGCUCAACCUGGGAACUGCCAUUGUGACUGCAAGGCUAGAGUGCGGCAGAGGGGGAUGGAAUUCCGCGUGUAGCAGUGAAAUGCGUAGAUAUGCGGAGGAACACCGAUGGCGAAGGCAAUCCCCUGGGCCUGCACUGACGCUCAUGCACGAAAGCGUGGGGAGCAAACAGGAUUAGAUACCCUGGUAGUCC